This 3386-nucleotide long non-coding RNA is filed under the name Xyrichtys novacula (pearly razorfish). The record is from RNAcentral. Lineage: Eukaryota; Metazoa; Chordata; Actinopteri; Labriformes; Labridae.
UACUUUUAAACCAUCUUUUAUUAACUUUAUCUCUCAAACACAACUAAUUCUUUUAUAAACAGCUCCUCCAAUCCAUUUGAACAGUCCAGAUACAAAUGAAAGAACACAGGGAGGAAAACAGAAACUUACAGUUUAUACACCAUCAAUCACAAAAGCACUCAGUGUGGAGGAAGGUCAAGGCCAAGCAGACGUCAGUCAAACAGAUUAACUUCAAACUCUGAGCAGGAACCUUGGGAAACAAGUGUCUUACACAAACUCUCAUCAAAAUAACAGUUCAACUACUGGAGCAUGAUAUGUACCUAGUACAAAAUUAAAUAAGCAUCAAAUCAAGUACAAAUUGGCAUCAGGACGUAAUAUGACUACACAAAUAUAUUCAUAAAUAGAACAAACAUGGAAAAACCUCAAUAAUAUGAAAAUAAAAACACAUAAAUGAGAUUACUUAGCAUAUGCAGGGCUGUAACAGAGAUCCUCAAUUCACCUUUUCAACCACACAAAAACCAUUCACUUUUCACAUUGAACCACUAGGGGGCAGCACAAGCAGCAACACUUUUUAACAAAAAGAGAGAAACAGAAAGGAGAUGGUGAACACGGACCCACUGCCUGGUUUAUCCUACAGCAGCAGAGAGUAACACUGAUUAUCAGGAAACAUGAAGUACACCUUCAACGAAUGCUCACCGACACAGACCUCAGUGCGCUUCAGGGUUGAAAACGAGACUUAAGGUUUAAUGUUUAAAAUCUUAAGGUGAAGCAACUGAAGCCAAAAAGACAUCUUUACUGUCACACAACAGCUGAUCCUCUUAUUUAUGCUGGGAAGCUCAAAUAUGCAGAUUUUAAGGUUUCCAAAGAACCUGACAACAUUUCAUUUGUUUAUACUAUGAGAGCUUCACUUUCUGGAUGUUACAUAACAGAAAGAAAAAAGAAAAAAAAAAUAGCUGCUUUGUGAUUUUAAUGAAAACUGCAGAGUGUCCAAGAUAAACCAGGCCAGUGCUGCUUCCUGCAGAAAAAAAAUUACUAAACUUUAUACAAAUCAAAACUGAGAUUGGCUUUCAAAAAAAAAAAAAAAAAUGCAGCCAGUGCACUUUCGGCAUGUCACCACAAACAAACCCUACAGAAACAUGGGGCCUGUUCUACGAAGCAGGAUUACUGCUUAGCGAGGUAACUUCGAGGGUAAGUUCGGGGUUUCAUGUUGUACGACGCGGGUUCAUAUCUUAGCGAGGUGAGUCUCCAUAGCAACGUACACUGAACGGCUAACCUGCUCUGUGGCAGGUUAGGUUCCAGAUUGAACUCACAGAGUAUAAAAACCCCGCCCACUGACCAAUGAGCUCUCUCGAAAAACGGCUUGUCUGUUCUUGGAGGAUCCUAUAGACCUCAGUGCUUGCAUUGUCCGAGGGGCACUCUGGUGCGCGCGUGGAUUUUCACGUACUUUUCCGGAUGACCACCUUUGUGAAACACUCAUACGGCCUACAUAUCACACAAAAAAUGUAAACACGAUAGGAAUGAACAAAUGAAUGAAUUCAUCUUGGAAAUGAAUUAGACAUGUCUGGUGCAUGUUAAAAGCGCAUGUUGAACAGUGCUAUUUCAGGGUGAUAAUGGCAUCAAAGAUUUUUUGCGCACUAUGUUUAGGCAUUGAGACUGUCUGAAAUUUUCUGCCAGCAUUCCUUCCGUGCUUUUGCAGCGGCGACGGUGUUGCUUUUGAGGUUUAUGAUAGAUUUGAAUUCUCCAUACUUUCUCAUGAUCGUCUCCUGCUCCUCGUUUGUAAAGUACGCGGUCCUUCGCUCUCCGGCCUGCUCUGACGCUCCAGACUGGUCCAUGUUCGCGAUUGGUCAGAUGCGGUGGGCUCCGCCUUACAUGCGUGCACGCGCUCAUAGCAAAGCUGGAUCCACUUACGAGGUUGAUAACCAGCGUCGUAAGACCGUUUAGUGCAGGGGUCGGCAACCUUAAACACUCAAAGAGCCACUUGGACCAGUUUCCCACAGAAAAGAAAACACAUGGAGCCGCAAAACCUCUUCGACAUCUAAAAUGAAGAUAACAUUGCAUAUAUCUUUUUUUUUUUACCUUUAUACAAAGUAUAUAAAAAACUGUAGCGAGUUGCAUUUAUGAAAUAAAUGAACUAUUUCGGCGAGUGUCUGUCUUCUUCUGUAGUUAAACCGCAAGAUAUCAAAAUCUACCCGGAUACAGCAAUGCUGCUUUUUGAUUGGCUGUUCAGUAGAUCUACUUUAUUUGAUUGGCUUGUGCGUGGCACGCAGCUUCUGAACUCUCGGAGGAACUCAGUUGAUUUCCCCCAGUUCAAUAGUUGAAGAAGUGCAACUUGGUGGACAUCACCGUGUUCAUUUAAAUGCGUGAGAAAUACAAUGUGUGGUGUGUGAGCGUGUGAACGAGUGGGAAUGCGUGUGUCAUACGCUGAAUGCGUGAGACUUGAGAGCCCUGUGCUCACGCAUCAUCGAUGUACUCCCGAGCCAUGCAAAACGGUCUUUGCAAAUGUUGCACUGAACGCCUUCCUUUUCAGUCUUGGUGAAGUUUUCCCACACCACUGAUGUUUUAGGUCGGGAUUUGGGUUGGGUUGUGUCCAUGGUUUUCUCAGCCACUGCCUCGGCCAUGGCUGUUUCUUUUCUGUGCGUCCUGCUGAUGUUUACACGCCGGUGUCCAUGGACAUAUAUAAAGACCCGAUGAAUCGAUUACAGAAUUUAUUGGCAACGGAUUUUUUCGUCACGACGAAUCUACUUAAUCGAUUCGUUGUUGCAGCCUUAAUAGUUUAUUUAAUGUUACAAGAGCAUUAUAAUCUUUGAAUUUAGAAUUACAAAAAAAAAAUUUAUUAUUUAUUUUCCAAAUCCAUUGGGAGCCGCAGCUUAGGGAAGAAAGAGCCGCAUGCGGCUCCAGAGCCGCGGGUUGCUGACCCCUGGUUUAGUGAGACCGCUGGCUACCACGCUAAGUUGAGCUAGGUCGAAUUUGCUUUGUAGAAUAGGCCCAUGGUCAGACAAACACUCAAACAGAAGGAGGAAAUCAAAGUACACAUGAAGUCUAGCUUACUCAUCAACAGUGUUGCAGGUCAAGUCUGACAUCUCCAUACAAAGGGUGCCGACUAAUGGAACCAGCCAGAGUAGAGUUUCUUUGUAGCUAGCCAACCAGCGGCUAACCGUUUAGCUUCAGAGAAAAGAACUAGCCAGGGGACAUCAGGCCCAGCGUGGGCUCCCUGUGCUUUUAUUUUGAAGGUUUGUGUGUUUAAAAAAAGCUUACAAAGUCAUACAAAGAGGUGAAAAACAGCUGUUCUGAAAUACACAGCACAAAGAGUAGGAGGGGUCGGGGAAAGUAGAGACUGAUAGAAAUCUGAAGCGGGAAGGUCAGAGAACAUCCUCGCCAGGACAUGUACAGAUUGUCAUUUUUCCCCC